UACGUAGGGUGCAAGCGUUAAUCGGAAUUACUGGGCGUAAAGCGUGCGCAGGCGGUUAUAUAAGACAGAUGUGAAAUCCCCGGGCUCAACCUGGGACCUGCAUUUGUGACUGUAUAGCUAGAGUACGGUAGAGGGGGAUGGAAUUCCGCGUGUAGCAGUGAAAUGCGUAGAUAUGCGGAGGAACAUCGAUGGCGAAGGCAAUCCCCUGGACCUGUACUGACGCUCAUGCACGAAAGCGUGGGGAGCAAACAGG
This 253-nucleotide ribosomal RNA is filed under the name uncultured bacterium. Its description in RNAcentral is "partial 16S ribosomal RNA". It matches the Rfam family "Bacterial small subunit ribosomal RNA", at positions 524 to 776 of the family's 1533-position model. The record is from RNAcentral.